Molecule: long non-coding RNA, 613 nt
Organism: Manduca sexta (tobacco hornworm)
Lineage: Eukaryota; Metazoa; Arthropoda; Insecta; Lepidoptera; Sphingidae
Exons: 2
Source: RefSeq, a predicted model, not a curated record
UUCGCUGUGUCGCCUGGCACGCAAGUCGCGGAUCCUUUAGUUUCAUCAGAGACAAUAUUUGUGUGAGAUAGUCACGCAGUACAGGCCACGGAUAGUUUCAUAAAUUAUACAAGAUGGCCGAGGACAAGAAAACUAAUAAGAGGAAUAUAAAACAGAUGGAGGAUAAACAUCGUGACGUCUUGGAGUUGGUGACUCAAGUCCCUGGAAAUUUUGAGGGUAUGUAUAGCCUUCGAAACCGCAAUCUGCUGAUAUACAUUAAGGCCUGAAUUCUCUCGCCCACGAGCGGCGAGACUUAAAUGUAUAUGACUUGUAUUAUGUAAUAUAAAUAUACUACGUGACUUUAAAAUGUAAGCCUGGUGAUAUUUAUUUGUUAAGGAACUAUUAAGUAAUGUUUAACCAGUAUGUAUAUUCAUUCGAUUGUAAUAUUAUAAGGAAAAUAUUAUAAAGUUGUAUCAACAUUUUCGAAAAAUAUUUCGUACACUUAAAUAUUACUUUAUCAACAUCCCGAAAGCAUUGGUAAAACAAAUUUUUUUUAUGCCAUUGUAUAUACCCAAUUCCUCGUUCCUAAAUAUAUAAUGGCGACCUUCCUGAACGUACCCGGUUGCACUUGUAA